GCCGGGCUUGGUGGCGCGCGCCUGUGGUCCCAGCUACCCAGGAGGCUGAGGCUGGAGGAUGGCUUGAGCCCAGGAGUUCUGGGCUGUCCUGUGCUAUGCGGAUCGGGUGUCCACACGAAGUUGGGCAUCAAUGUGGUGACCUCCUGGGAGCGGGGACCACCAGGUUGCCUAAGGAGGGGUGAACCGGCCCAGCUCGGAAAUGGAGCAGGUCAGAGCUCCUGUGAUGACGAGCAUUGGGAUUGUGCCUGUGAGGAGCCACUGUGCUCCAGCCUGGGCAACACAGCGAGCCCCCGUCUUUA
Molecule: signal recognition particle RNA, 299 nt
Filed under: Myotis brandtii (Brandt's bat)
Lineage: Eukaryota; Metazoa; Chordata; Mammalia; Chiroptera; Vespertilionidae
Description: Metazoan signal recognition particle RNA
Rfam family: Metazoan signal recognition particle RNA
About the family: The signal recognition particle (SRP) is a universally conserved ribonucleoprotein. It is involved in the co-translational targeting of proteins to membranes.
Source: Rfam by way of RNAcentral